Molecule: ribosomal RNA, 274 nt
Filed under: uncultured bacterium
Lineage: Bacteria
Description: partial 16S ribosomal RNA
Rfam family: Bacterial small subunit ribosomal RNA
Source: RNAcentral
ACACGGGGGGCGCAAGCGUUAUUCGGAAUUAUUGGGCGUAAAGGUCGUGUAGGCGGUUUUAUCGGCCAGAUGUGAAAGCCCAGGGCUCAACCCUGGACGUGCAUUUGAAACAGUAAGACUUGAGUACGGUAGAGGAAAGCGGAAUUCCUGGUGUAGAGGUGAAAUUCGUAGAUAUCAGGAGGAACACCGAUGGCGAAGGCAGCUUUCUGGACCGAAACUGACGCUGAUGCGCGAAGGCGUGGGUAGCGAACAGGAUUAGAUACCCCAGUAGUCC